UGCGUAGGUGGUUUCUUAAGUCAGAGAUGAAAGGCUACGGCUCAACCGUAGUAAGCCUUUGAAACUGGGAAACUUGAGUGCAGGAGAGGAGAGUGGAAUUCCUAGUGUAGCGGUGAAAUGCGUAGAUAUUAGGAGGAACACCAGUUGCGAAGGCGGCUCUCUGGACUGUAACUGACACUGAGGCACGAAAGCGUGGGGAGCAACA
RNAcentral lists this ribosomal RNA (205 nucleotides) under uncultured bacterium. RNAcentral describes it as "partial 16S ribosomal RNA". It matches the Rfam family "Bacterial small subunit ribosomal RNA", at positions 568 to 773 of the family's 1533-position model. The record is from RNAcentral.